Molecule: ribosomal RNA, 798 nt
Filed under: uncultured bacterium
Lineage: Bacteria
Description: bacterial SSU rRNA
Rfam family: Bacterial small subunit ribosomal RNA
Source: RNAcentral
CUAAUACAUGCAAGUCGAGCGAGACCUUCGGGUCUAGCGGCGGACGGCUGAGUAAUGCAUAGAUAACGUGCCCUUUACUGGGGGAUAACACCGGGAAACUGGUGCUAAUACCGCAUAAGUGCCGGGUUGCAAUACCCGUCAUUAAAGAAUUUCGGUAAAGGAUCGGUCUGUGUCGGAUUAGCUAGUUGGCGGGGUAAUAGCCCACCAAGGCGAUGAUCCGUAGUUGGUCUGAGAGGAUGACCAGCCAGAGUGGGACUGAGACACGGCCCACACUCCUACGGGAGGCAGCAGUAGGGAAUAUUGCGCAAUGGGCGAAAGCCUGACGCAGCAACACCGCGUGGAGGAUGACGUUUCUAGGAACGUAAACUCCUGUCGGCAGGGAAUAAUUUUGACUGUACCUGCAAAGGAAGGACCGGCUAACUACGUGCCAGCAGCCGCGGUAAUACGUAGGGUCCAAGCGUUGUCCGGAUUUAUUGGGCGUAAAGAGUUCGUAGGUGGUCGCUUAAGUCUGAUGUUAAAUACCGAAGCUUAACUUCGGCAUGGCAUUGGAAACUGGGCGGCUGGAGUCCGUCAGAGGUAACUGGAAUUCCAGGUGUAGCGGUGAAAUGCGUAGAUAUCUGGAGGAACACCCGUGGCGAAAGCGAGUUACUGGGACGGUACUGACACUGAGGAACGAAAGCCUGGGGAGCGAAAGGGAUUAGAUACCCCUGUAGUCCAGGCCGUAAACGAUGGAUACUAGGUGUUGGUGGAUUCGACCCCAUCAGUGCCGCAGUUAACGUGAUAAGUAUCCCGCCUGGG